AUUUUUCUCUCUAAUGAGCACCCUGUGAAGGCCUUAGGAUUGGCUGCUACAGACUCAUCUGGCCAUCUCUCUCCUUUCAAAUUCUCCAGAAGGGCAACUGGUGAUGAUGAUGUGCAAUUCAAAGUUUUGUAUUGCGGGAUCUGCCACACUGAUCUUCAUUACCUCAAAAACGAGUGGGGAGUCACUCAAUAUCCCAUUGUACCGGGGUAACUUUCUGCAAAUUCAUAUCAUGUAAUUAUGCCAUUAGAUGCCGAUAAUUGAUAUGGAUAUAUAAUUGCAAGCAUGAGAUUGUUGGUGUGGUAACAGAGGUGGGAAAGAAGGUUGAGAAGGUCAAAGUUGGUGUGGGAUGCAUGGUCGGAUCUUGUCGAUCGUGCGAGAGCUGCAAUGAAAAAAAAGUAAUAUAACCCUUUUAGGGUACCAACUAUUCAAUUUAGGUCAUUCAGUUGUGACUUUUUUGGGUUAUAAAUAUUCAACGCUAACCAUGUCAAAUUGUCUAACUAUUCAGGCCAACCAACAAAUUUUGGGUUGAAUUCACAUCCCUAUCCGCAAUUGUUACCUCUCAAUCCAAAGGGGAUCCUAGUCUUGCAACGUACUGCAUUGUAAUUAAAUCUUCCUCCCUGGCACCCUCAACAUGAGUGAGGAGUUCUUCUUGAGGAAGGAUCCUGUGGUUUUCACCACAGCACCCAAUGCUGUGUGCCAAAAUGCAGAUUUUUAUUCA
This is a non-coding RNA of Salvia hispanica, 718 nucleotides long. The record is from RefSeq and is a predicted model, not a curated record. NCBI's taxonomy places the organism in Eukaryota, Viridiplantae, Streptophyta, Magnoliopsida, Lamiales, Lamiaceae.